AUUAAGGUAGCAAAGCAAGGCUAUGCAACAGGCUUAAAACCUCUACACGGAUGUUCAAAUCACCCCCUUAAUA
This 73-nucleotide transfer RNA is filed under the name Acrochordus granulatus (little file snake). RNAcentral's name for it is "tRNA-Leu specifying UUR codons". It matches the Rfam family "tRNA". From Rfam's summary of the family: Transfer RNA (tRNA) molecules are approximately 80 nucleotides in length. Their secondary structure includes four short double-helical elements and three loops (D, anti-codon, and T loops). Further hydrogen bonds mediate the characteristic L-shaped molecular structure. tRNAs have two regions of fundamental functional importance: the anti-codon, which is responsible for specific mRNA codon recognition, and the 3' end, to which the tRNAs corresponding amino acid is attached (by aminoacyl-tRNA synthetases). tRNAs cope with the degeneracy of the genetic code in two manners: having more than one tRNA (with a specific anti-codon) for a particular amino acid; and 'wobble' base-pairing, i.e. permitting non-standard base-pairing at the 3rd anti-codon position. Lineage: Eukaryota; Metazoa; Chordata; Lepidosauria; Squamata; Acrochordidae. The record is from RNAcentral.